GCCGGACUAGCUCAAUCGGUAGAGCAUGAGACUCUUAAUCUCAGGGUCAUGGGUUCGAGCCCUACAUUGGGUG
Molecule: non-coding RNA, 73 nt
Organism: Apodemus sylvaticus (European woodmouse)
Lineage: Eukaryota; Metazoa; Chordata; Mammalia; Rodentia; Muridae
Source: the annotation of a RefSeq genome assembly